Molecule: transfer RNA, 84 nt
Filed under: Methanosarcinaceae archaeon
Lineage: Archaea; Methanobacteriati; Methanobacteriota; Methanomicrobia; Methanosarcinales; Methanosarcinaceae
Also listed under: 1 other name
Description: tRNA-Ser
Rfam family: tRNA
About the family: Transfer RNA (tRNA) molecules are approximately 80 nucleotides in length. Their secondary structure includes four short double-helical elements and three loops (D, anti-codon, and T loops). Further hydrogen bonds mediate the characteristic L-shaped molecular structure. tRNAs have two regions of fundamental functional importance: the anti-codon, which is responsible for specific mRNA codon recognition, and the 3' end, to which the tRNAs corresponding amino acid is attached (by aminoacyl-tRNA synthetases). tRNAs cope with the degeneracy of the genetic code in two manners: having more than one tRNA (with a specific anti-codon) for a particular amino acid; and 'wobble' base-pairing, i.e. permitting non-standard base-pairing at the 3rd anti-codon position.
Source: RNAcentral
GCCGAGGUAGUCUAGUGGUAAGGCGCAAGCCUGGAAAGCUUGUGGGGCUUACGCCCCUCGGGAGUUCGAAUCCCCCUCUCGGCG